GAGUCCAGGACACUGCUACAUGCAAGUCUAACUUUGUUAAUCCUCUUUACCAGCGGCAUCGGAGGACACAUCGAAAAUGGCUCUCAUCUGAAAAUGGAUCAGGCUUUGCUCAUAUUUCAUAACCAGCUGACUGAAGAAGUGCAUGCUUCCUACACAUCAGAUUACUGCUACAAGUGUUUGUACCAACAUUUGGUCACAGUGAAACCCAACAACAAUAAUGCUUCUGCAAUAAUCAGCACCAAAUUUACUCUGACAGUACAAGUGGAAUCACAAACCAGGAAUGCAACCUUUUGCAGAUGGAGUCAAACGUAUGAGGAAGGUGGUCACUACUCUAUUUGGAUUUACACCCUAGAUGCAAAUAAUCGCAGCUGCACUCACAUUGUGGAUAGAAGACCAAAUAAUGCCUAUCUGCCUAUUUUGGUGGCAGCACUCCUGCUGGCUGUAAUCGCUCUGUUAUUCGUUGUGAUACCCUACAUCUGCAGGAGGCGUUGUACAUCAAAAUUUAUAAAGACUAUUUGCUGCCAAGGCCCACAGCAUUCAGAAGAG
Long non-coding RNA from Astatotilapia calliptera (eastern happy), 546 nucleotides. NCBI's taxonomy places the organism in Eukaryota, Metazoa, Chordata, Actinopteri, Cichliformes, Cichlidae. The record is from Ensembl.